Molecule: ribosomal RNA, 346 nt
Filed under: uncultured Bacteroidota bacterium
Lineage: Bacteria; Pseudomonadati; Bacteroidota
Description: bacterial SSU rRNA
Rfam family: Bacterial small subunit ribosomal RNA
Source: RNAcentral
GCUAGCGGCAGGCCUAACACAUGCAAGUCGAGGGGUAACAGAGAAGCUUGCUUCUGCUGACGACCGGCGCACGGGUGCGUAACGCGUAUGCAACCUACCUUAUACAGGAGAAUACCCCUUGGAAACGAGGAAUAAUGCUCCAUAGUAUCAUCACUUCGCAUGUUGAGAUGAUUAAAGAAUUUCGGUAUAAGAUGGGCAUGCGUCCCAUUAGCUUGUUGGUGAGGUAACGGCUCACCAAGGCUACGAUGGGUAGGGGGCCUGAGAGGGUGGUCCCCCACACUGGUACUGAGACACGGACCAGACUCCUACGGGAGGCAGCAGUGAGGAAUAUUGGUCAAUGGAGGCA